Molecule: ribosomal RNA, 103 nt
Filed under: Periophthalmus magnuspinnatus
Lineage: Eukaryota; Metazoa; Chordata; Actinopteri; Gobiiformes; Gobiidae
Source: RNAcentral
ACCCGCCACCAAAUCUCCUUGUCAAAGCCUGAUCUCAUCAGAUCUCAGAAGCUAAGCAAUGCAGGGCCUGGUUAGUACUUGAAUGUGUUGGUGGUGGUUGGAG